Crotalus tigris (Tiger rattlesnake) is the source of this 596-nucleotide long non-coding RNA. RefSeq lists it as uncharacterized. The record is from RefSeq and is a predicted model, not a curated record. Lineage: Eukaryota; Metazoa; Chordata; Lepidosauria; Squamata; Viperidae. The transcript has 3 exons.
AACAAAUACUUAUCUCACCAACAUCAAUCAUCUACAAGGGGAGAGGUGAAGGUUAACACAUAGGAGUUGACAUCCUUAUACAAACCAACUAUGCUUGACUUUCAGGGACCGUCGAGCUUAUUCACUUCUGGUCUAUGCAGAGCAAUUUCCCGUCACCACGUUGGCUCCUUGUGACAGUCCUCAUCUUUGGACCUAAUCUCCGUACAGAGGAGAACCACCCAUGACAUGGAAGAUAAAUUGUUGGAGACCACGUAGUACACCUGCAGAGGAAUAGAUUAUCUUCCUACAAUGAAAGAGAUGAGAAAUGGGAUAUAUUUUAUGAUCAUCCAUAGAUCUACAAUUCCCUGGCCUCUGAUUCCAGACAUCUCAUUCUCAAGUGUAUCAGUUCUGAAAUAGCUUUUUCUUCCCAUUAAUUGCAAUGUAUCAGGAAUGUUAAUGUCCCCCUGCUUUUAUAUAUAAUCCUUUGCCUCCCUUUUUUGACCUGCUGGUUGUAGCAGCAAGUAGCUUUCUUAGUACCACCCAUGUAGAAGCACUGCAGUGCUAAGACCACCUUAAUAGGCAGUUUUGAAGGUGAUGCAAAUAAAGAAGUGGAAGUA